UAAAAAGUAGUGUAUAUAGCCCAUAGGAAUUUGAAUCCUAAAGUAAAAAUUAAAUUUUUCUUUUUAG
Molecule: transfer RNA, 67 nt
Filed under: Plaxiphora albida
Lineage: Eukaryota; Metazoa; Mollusca; Polyplacophora; Chitonida; Mopaliidae
Description: tRNA-Gln
Rfam family: tRNA
About the family: Transfer RNA (tRNA) molecules are approximately 80 nucleotides in length. Their secondary structure includes four short double-helical elements and three loops (D, anti-codon, and T loops).
Source: RNAcentral